This is a non-coding RNA of 'Nostoc azollae' 0708, 217 nucleotides long. It matches the Rfam family "HNH endonuclease-associated RNA and ORF (HEARO) RNA". NCBI's taxonomy places the organism in Bacteria, Bacillati, Cyanobacteriota, Cyanophyceae, Nostocales, Nostocaceae. The record is from Rfam.
GUCAGAAAGCCUACUCCUGAAGGCGUGGGCUUGAAAAGCCCUAAUCUGACCAGACUAAGUACCUUGUUGGGUACUACGUUAGAGGUAAGAGUUCAAGACCUACCAAGGGAUGUGAAGCUAGUCCUUUGCUCUAGAACCGAACAGUUAAACAUCUAAGGGUUAAGGAAGUGCUGUUUGGAUAGUUACCGACCUCUAACAUUAUCAAAGCUAACUUUAC